CAGUAGCCACGGUAAUACGUAGGGUGCGAGCGUUAAUCGGAAUUACUGGGCGUAAAGCGUGCGCAGGCGGUUGUGUAAGACAGGUGUGAGAUCCCCGGGCUUAACCUGGGAACUGCGCUUGUGACUGCACAGCUAGAGUAUGGCAGAGGGGGGUGGAAUUCCACGUGUAGCAGUGAAAUGCGUAGAGAUGUGGAGGAACACCGAUGGCGAAGGCAGCCCCCUGGGCCAAUACUGACGCUCAUGCACGAAAGCGUGGGGAGCAAACAGGAUUAGAUACCCGCGUAGUCCCUGUCUCUUAUAA
Molecule: ribosomal RNA, 301 nt
Filed under: uncultured bacterium
Lineage: Bacteria
Description: partial 16S ribosomal RNA
Rfam family: Bacterial small subunit ribosomal RNA
Source: RNAcentral